This 66-nucleotide transfer RNA is filed under the name Toxocara canis (dog roundworm). It matches the Rfam family "tRNA". From Rfam's summary of the family: Transfer RNA (tRNA) molecules are approximately 80 nucleotides in length. Their secondary structure includes four short double-helical elements and three loops (D, anti-codon, and T loops). The record is from Rfam by way of RNAcentral. Lineage: Eukaryota; Metazoa; Nematoda; Chromadorea; Rhabditida; Toxocaridae.
GGCAGUAGCUCAGUGGUAGAGCCUCGCUUCGCUUGCGGGAAGACCUGGGCUCGAUUCCCGGCUGCC